This 375-nucleotide ribosomal RNA is filed under the name uncultured eukaryote. Its description in RNAcentral is "partial 18S ribosomal RNA". It matches the Rfam family "Eukaryotic small subunit ribosomal RNA", at positions 592 to 976 of the family's 1831-position model. The record is from RNAcentral.
CAAUAGCGUAUAUUUAAGUUGUUGCAGUUAAAAAGCUCGUAGUUGGAUUUCGGUUAAGAGCGACCGGUCCGCCGUUUGGUGUGCACUGGUUGGUUUUAACUUCCUGUAGAGGACGUGCUCUGGGUUUAACGACCUGGACUCGGAGUCUACGUGGUUACUUUGAAAAAAUUAGAGUGUUCAAAGCGGGCCUACGCUUGAAUAUUUCAGCAUGGAAUAACGCUAUAGGACUCCUGUCCUAUUUCGUUGGUCUCGGGACGGGAGUAAUGAUUAAGAGGAACAGUUGGGGGCAUUCGUAUUUCAUUGUCAGAGGUGAAAUUCUUGGAUUUAUGAAAGACGAACUUCUGCGAAAGCAUUUGCCAAGGAUGUUUNCAUUAA